This 404-nucleotide ribosomal RNA is filed under the name uncultured bacterium. RNAcentral describes it as "bacterial SSU rRNA". It matches the Rfam family "Bacterial small subunit ribosomal RNA", at positions 355 to 775 of the family's 1533-position model. The record is from RNAcentral.
UAGGGAAUUUUGCGCAAUGGGCGAAAGCCUGACGCAGCAACACCGCGUGUAGGAUGAAGGAUUUCGGUCUGUAAACUACUGUCAGCAGGGAAUAAUUAUGACUGUACCUGCAGAGGAAGCACCGGCUAACUACGUGCCAGCAGCCGCGGUAAGACGUAGGGUGCAAGCGUUGUCCGGAAUUAUUGGGCGUAAAGAGUUCGUAGGCAGUUACUUAAGUCUGGUGUUAAAGACGGGAGCUCAACUCCCGCAUGGCAUUGGAAACUGGGUGGCUAGAGUACGGUAGAGGUAUCGGGAAUUCCAGGUGUAGCGGUGAAAUGCGUAGAUAUCUGGAGGAACACCGGUGGCGAAAGCGCGAUACUGGGCCGUAACUGACGCUGAGGAACGAAAGCCAGGGGAGCGAAAGG